Molecule: ribosomal RNA, 490 nt
Filed under: uncultured bacterium
Lineage: Bacteria
Description: partial 16S ribosomal RNA
Rfam family: Bacterial small subunit ribosomal RNA
Source: RNAcentral
GAUGAACGCUAGCGAUAGGCUUAACACAUGCAAGUCGAGGGGCAGCAUGGUCUUAGCUUGCUAAGACUGAUGGCGACCGGCGCACGGGUGCGUAACGCGUAUGCAACUUGCCUCACAGAGGGGGAUAACCCGUCGAAAGACGGACUAAUACCGCGUACACUUGGGAUAGGGCAUCCUGACCCAAGGAAAUGAAAUUCGCUGUGAGAUAGGCAUGCGUCCCAUUAGCUAGUUGGUGAGGUAACGGCUCACCAAGGCGACGAUGGGUAGGGGAACUGAGAGGUUGAACCCCCACACUGGUACUGAGACACGGACCAGACUCCUACGGGAGGCAGCAGUGAGGAAUAUUGGUCAAUGGGCGAGAGCCCGAACCAGCCAAGUCGCGUGAAGGAUGACUGUCUUAUGGAUUGUAAACUUCUUUUAUACGGGAAUAACAAGAGCCACGUGUGGCUCCCUGCAUGUACCGUAUGAAUAAGCAUCGGCUAACUCCGUG